AUGCAGCAACCACGCGGUGGCUGCUGGGCCGCUCGCCGCCUCCUGGCCGCGCCGGCGCCCCCGCCGGAUCCCGCCCAUCCGAUGGACGCGCAGCCGAUGGCGCGCCUGGAGACGGUGUUCAGCGGCACCACCAUCGUGCUCUUCGUCGCCACCGUCUCCUACGUCGUCUUCAGCGCGGUCUACGCCUGCAUCCGCGCCACCCGCUACGACGCCCGCCAACAAGGACACGGCUGGGUCGAUGGCGACGGCCUGGGAGCGGCGGCGCCGCGGGAGGAGACCAAGCGCGCGCUCGAGACGAUCCCCGUGCGGGUGGUCGUCCUGCAGCAGCAGCAGCAGCAGCCCGGCGAUGUCAUCGGAGGCCGGAAGAAGGAGGAGGACGCCGACGCGGACGCCGGCGACUGCGCGGUGUGCCUGGCGGAGUACGCGGCCGGGGACGAGGUGCGGGUGCUCCCGGCGUGCCGCCACGGGUUCCACCGGGAGUGCGUCGACCGCUGGCUGCUCACGCGCGCGCCCACCUGCCCUGUCUGCCGCGCCACGGUCGGUGCUCACGUCGAGGGCGCCGACGCCAAGGAGGACUACGCGGCCGGACACGGCGGUGUCAUUGGUCUCGCCGCCGGGUCCCAUGCGCUUCCGGAGCCGGUGUGA
Molecule: ribosomal RNA, 645 nt
Filed under: Triticum aestivum (bread wheat)
Lineage: Eukaryota; Viridiplantae; Streptophyta; Magnoliopsida; Poales; Poaceae
Description: partial small subunit ribosomal RNA
Source: RNAcentral